AGGGGCUGUAGCGGGGUCCCUGAGAGGAUGUGUGGGGGUCCUGAGGGGAUGGGAUUCCUGAGGGGAUGGGAAGAUGGCCAUGGCGGGACCCCCACCCACAGCACUGGGCUCGGGGGGCAGUGGCUGGAAGGCGGCCAAGGGCAGCAGGCAGGGCAGGGGCAGCAGCGAAGGCAGGAGGGGAAGGCAGGGAGCCAUCGCCUGAGGAUGCUGAUGGAGACUUUGGAGCUGUCACCCCUUUUGGAAGAUGCCAAGGUUGUGAUCUCUGCUGCUUCCCUACAAAGUCCAUCCCACAGAG
Molecule: long non-coding RNA, 295 nt
Organism: Neopelma chrysocephalum (saffron-crested tyrant-manakin)
Lineage: Eukaryota; Metazoa; Chordata; Aves; Passeriformes; Pipridae
Exons: 3
Source: RefSeq, a predicted model, not a curated record